CAGACAUCGGUCUCGUUAGUGACCUGCGGAGGACAUUA
Molecule: ribosomal RNA, 38 nt
Filed under: Ganoderma lucidum
Lineage: Eukaryota; Fungi; Basidiomycota; Agaricomycetes; Polyporales; Polyporaceae
Description: partial 18S ribosomal RNA
Source: RNAcentral